GAGGGUGUCAAAAAGCCCGUCGAGGGAGC
RNAcentral lists this small RNA (29 nucleotides) under Bombyx mori (domestic silkworm). Its description in RNAcentral is "ovarian small RNA-15922". Lineage: Eukaryota; Metazoa; Arthropoda; Insecta; Lepidoptera; Bombycidae. The record is from RNAcentral.